RNAcentral lists this ribosomal RNA (506 nucleotides) under uncultured bacterium. Its description in RNAcentral is "partial 16S ribosomal RNA". It matches the Rfam family "Bacterial small subunit ribosomal RNA", at positions 29 to 523 of the family's 1533-position model. The record is from RNAcentral.
AUUGAACGCUGGCGGCAGGCCUAACACAUGCAAGUCGAGCGGCAGCGGGGGGGAGCUUGCUUCCCUGCCGGCGAGCGGCGGACGGGUGAGUAAUGUCUGGGGAUCUGCCUGAUGGAGGGGGAUAACUACUGGAAACGGUAGCUAAUACCGCAUAACGUCGCAAGACCAAAGUGGGGGACCUUCGGGCCUCACGCCAUCGGAUGAACCCAGAUGGGAUUAGCUAGUAGGUGGGGUAACGGCUCACCUAGGCGGCGAUCCCUAGCUGGUCUGAGGGGAUGACCAGCCACACUGGAACUGAGACACGGUCCAGACUCCUACGGGAGGCAGCAGUGGGGAAUAUUGCACAAUGGGGGAAACCCUGAUGCAGCCAUGCCGCGUGUGUGAAGAAGGCCUUCGGGUUGUAAAGCACUUUCAGCGGGGAGGAAGGCGGUAAGGUUAAUAACCUUACCGAUUGACGUUACCCGCAGAAGAAGCACCGGCUAACUCCGUGCCAGCCGCCGCAGUAA